This is a non-coding RNA of Sesamum indicum (sesame), 5144 nucleotides long. Lineage: Eukaryota; Viridiplantae; Streptophyta; Magnoliopsida; Lamiales; Pedaliaceae. The record is from RefSeq and is a predicted model, not a curated record.
CCACCUCCACUACCAUCUGUCGAGUAGACCUUGAUACCAUCCCACAUUUCAGGAACAUGUUUUCUUUAUUUUUACUUUUCAUUUCCUUAUUUCUGUGGGACUGCAUGCAUACAUUUAGGACAAUAUAUGUGCUGGGUGUGGGGGAGGUAUGUUGUGCUUCUGCUUGUGAGGUUAUUGAUUUUUUGGGAGGUGGUUGGAUAGUCAUUUUAGAAUGAUUCUUUCAAAAUUGGUUGUGUUGUUGAAAAUCUGAAUGUUGAAAUUUGAAUUGAUGUGUUGGAAUAUGGAUGUGUGGGGAUUGAAAAUGUUUAAUUGGGGAUUGACAAUUUUGAUUUGAACACGGAAACUUGUGAAAGAAGUUCGUGUGUCUUGAGAAAAAUAUGUGAAUUAUCCAGCAGUCGCUGUUCAAUUUUCAAAUUGUUGUCUUGUGAUAUCCCGUACAUUAAUAGAAUUUUUUGGUAUAAGUAGAGGUAAGUAGGAGAAACUAGCACUAGUGGCAUAUUAAAAAAAAUGUGUGAAGUGUGUUCCAUUGACUGCAUCAAAUAAACGAUGUUCAAGAAUCAACACAAAAGCCCUUUGUGUGAGCUUUUGAACCAAAGCACUACCAUUUAAACAGUGCUUCUACAUUUCUUUUGAUUGAGGGCAUCAAACUUAGUAUGUUCAUUCUAGAACUUGCUUGUGUAAUACAUUUUGAGACCACAAUCUUCUAAGAUUGGUGUAUGAAAGUGAUAAGGGCACUUAGGAGUAACAUUAUAAGCCGAAUUAUCCCCUUCUUGGUUAUCUCCUGAAGUGAUUUUUGAACCCAUUCAAUGGGAUGAUGUUGGCUUGUUUGCUUGUAUGACAUGAAAAUGAGUGAAUUAAAUGAUUCAAGUUGUAUACUGGGGACGCAUUGCUAGCCCCAAGGAAAAGAAAUAAAAGAGCAAAGAGGAAAUGAAAAAAAAAAGAAGAAAAAAAAGAAGAAAAGAAGAAGGAAAAAAAGAAGAAAAGAAGAAGGAAAAAAAAAGAAAAAAGAAGAAACAAAAGAAGAAAAAAAGAAAAUAUUCUGAAAAAGAAAGAGAUUCAGAAACAGAAAACAAAACAAUUUGAGGAGUUUGAUUGUUCAAACCGCUUGAAUCGAGUUGAAGGAGAAUGAGCUUUGAAGGAUAAGCAACUAGGUUGGCAUCGUCCUUUGAAUUCAUAAGCCACGAUUCGACCUAUUCUUUACCACACCUUGUCCUAAGCCCCGUUACAACCCAUGCAAAGACCCUUUGAUUCAUGCAUUAAUUUGCAUUUUGUUGGUGGUGGAGAUUUGAUUCACAAGCAAGCCUAUGGUAAUGACAUACUAUGUAUUGAUUUGAGUGGAACCCAAAUUCUUAAACAUUUUAUGAGUGAUUAGAGUGACACGCGAAUUCUUAAACACUUUAUGAGUGAUUAGAGAGACACCCUUGUGAGUGUGUUGAGACUUGUUUCAUUUAAUUUUGAUAAAGUCAAUGGGAUACUUGUGUGUUGAAUGUUGUGCUACAAGUGAUUGUUUCUCAGUAUUGCUAUCUCUUCUUAAACUAUUAAGUUAUAUUAGUGUAGGAGAUAUACUUGACUGAAAUGAAAUGAAAUUUGACAAUUGCUACUUGGAUAAUUUGUGUAUUUGGAUUGAGAAAUGUUUGAGGGCAAGCAUGGUUUUGGUGUGCGGGAAUCUAUUAAAAUAUAUUUUAACCUUCUAUUCAUGCUUAUUUUGAGUUAUUGGAAAGGAUUUUGGUGCGUAGGUUAGUGAUGUUAAGAUACCCCAAGUUUCUGAAAGAUGGGAGUGUAAUGUAGGUGAUACUUUUUUACACAUCACAGUUGGAAGUUACAGGAUUCAGAGUCAGCUCUUGUGUUAUUUUGUUGGGUGGUUUUUUGUCUAAAGUUCAGAGAUAGCAUGUCAAUUAUAAUUAUACUUAUUGUUGUCUGUUGUCUUUUGUCUCUUCCUAAUAAUUGCUUCUCUAAAGGGGUCAAGAGAAGUCAUCACGUAUCAAAUAUUACUUUACUCUUGUUUUGUCAAUCUGGAGUCGUCAUGUAGUAGCAUUUUAUUCAUGUGAAGCAGUAAGGUGGAGUUAAUCUUAAUUUCUUAAAUUUGCUGCACAAAGAGGAACUGUAUUGGAUUACAUUAGAAUAUUGAAACCGUUAUGGUCUUCUUUAUCACCAGAACCGAGAUUGAUGUGCUUGGAUGAUAUGUUAAAAAUGUCUGUGCGAUAUUUGGGAAUGCAUAUGCUAAAAUCUUUCAAUUGACAGUCUAGAGACUUAAUGGGAAUGGCAGUCUGAGUGGGAAUGGCAUGUGUGAAGUCUUGGAGAACUUUGUAGUCUAUUUUUCCAGCAUAAAGACAAAAGUGUUGGAAAAUCAGCACUUUUGACUAUGUUGACGGGAACUCAUUCAGAAGCCCCAUCAUAUGAGUUCACCACACUAACUUGUUCACUACAAUGAUGCUAAAAUACAGCUCCUUGACGUUCCUGGAGUUAUAAAGGAGCAUCUGAAGGAAAGGGGCAUGGUACCAAGGUUAUCGCAGUCGCCAGAUCAGCACAUCUUGUGUUGAUGGUUCUGGAUGCUUCCAAAGUAAGUGGUAGUGUUGUCAGUUUCUAUUGGAUGAUUGAAAAAGUUCUGUUUGAAUGUUUGUAACAGUUUGCAUGUCACACCCAAUCACUAGCUUCCUUCGUUUAUAUGUUAGUACUUGUGUGUGUAUUGUCCAUACAUACUUUUACAUGCCAUGAUUAACAAGAAAGGAAAUGGGGGAUGGCCUGGACCAAGAUCUAAAGUAACUGCUAAUACUUCUGCUUUUUCCCUUCCAGACACACAAAAAGCACUUCUUUCGACGGUUUUCUCACGGGGAACUAAUAGAAUAGACUGGCUUGUGAGAGACUCCUUCUCAUGCUACUUCUUGAUAAUGGUACAGUCCGUUCAACCCCUUUGGGGAGAUCAAUAAUACAUUAUGUUCCAAACAGAAGAAAUAUACCUAAGAACAACAUUAGCGUUCAAUUUCAAUGCCAAUAUCUUAUGAUUACUGUCUGUUGAUGCCUUUCAAAGUUUCACUGUAAUUUAUGAUGUCAGAAAAAGUCUUUGACCCCAUUAGUUGUUUGUGUGGUUAUAUUAAUCUGAAUUCUUCUUUGUUCUGGCUCACUUACAUUGCCUCUGCUAAUGUUGCCUUGACAUUGAAGGAGAAAUUAUUUAAUAUUUGCUUGAAGUUAAGAAAAGAAUUUCUUAUAUUUGGUAUUGACAGUAAUUUGGUUAGUUUUGUCUGUUUCUGAUCUUCCAAAUUUCGUGAUUGGCAUGUUUUUUAGGUUCUGUGCCAAUUUACAUACACAUAAUUACUUUUAUGCGGUGCUUUUGGUAAGUAAUUUCUAAUAUGCUAUAUUUUGAUUAGUUAUGUAGCUUUAAUUCUAAUAUUUUCCGUGGCUCAAUGAUCAUGAAAUUUCUAGAGUGAAGGGCAUCGACAAAUCUUAACAAGGAAAUUGGAAGUUGUAUGUUGCGCUUAAAGAAAAGACCACCUUCGUUGCCUUUUGUUCUUUUGUCACUUUCUCUUGGUACUUGUUUAAAACACGAGUAAGGUUUGUAACCUUACCUAAUAAGAGUUUUGAGUUUGGACUCUUUGCGGUUAGAUCUACAAAAGUUAUAUUUAGGUAAUAUUGUCCUUAAAGACUUCGUAGGGAAUGGAACCAGUUGCUGAAUGGAAGGAGGGAACAGAACCUUUUCCUUUGUGAGAACAUUGUGUUGUGGAUGCUAGAAUGUUCCAGAAAGAAUAUCUUUUCCUCCUUCCUCCCAUACAUUGUAAAACUCUUAAAAGCAUGAGUCUUUUCUAUCUUUUUCACAUCAUAAUUUUUCGAUGUUUUCAUUCUUCUAGAUGCUUAUUAAUUAAAAUUACAUGUAAACUUAGCAAUCUUAUUUUGUAGAAUGAAUCUGCUUGUCUGGUAGAUAGUGUGCUCUUGCAUGCUUGGACUCAGGUCGAAGUUCCUCGCUUUUACAACCCUUUGACAACAGCAUUGUAACCAUGUGGUAAGACUUGAUGAAUACAGUUGCUGAAGGAGGGAACAAAACCUUCCAGUGAAAACAGUUGCUGAUAAACUUGCCAGGGAAUGAAAUAGUUGCUCAAUGAAGGAGGAGGCAAACCUUUGGGCUCCAGUCAAUAAGGAUUCAUUUUACACGGUGAGAACAUCAUAGCUUGCCAGGGAAUGAAAACAUUUGCUGAAUGAAGGAGGGAACACAAUGUUCCGGUGCCAAUCAACAAGGAUUCACUUUACACGAAUAUUGUUCAUUACUCAGUGCUGGAUGGAGUACCAGAAAUAUUGUUCACCACUACAGUUCGGGGAACUGUACGAGUCAUACGAGAAAUUUUGGAUGAGAUGUAGGCGGAUCAAUACAUAUGGCAGCCGUAUGACAUGGACUCGGAUGUCAUUAUGGCUUACGCCGAUGAAUUCAACCCCCAGUUGUGGAGGUCAUCCGUUCCGUUGAUAUUCUACAAAAUAGUUGAAAUGCAUCGUCCCGAACGAGUUGUUCGCCAAUUCGGGAUGAGGUAGAAUGUACUAGAAUCGACGGAUACCCGUGAUAUGAGCCUCCAUCAGAUUUCCCGUAAAAAUCACGCGGGCGCAGAUUGGUCUCUGCAACACAUACAAUACAUCACUAGAUGGCAAAGACGAUAUGACACGGUUGUACAUAGGCCACUCAUUUCUAAUAGAAGACAAAACGAGGUUAUUGGGAGUGGUACUACAACAUAACAAGAAAUUUCGUGUCGUCAUCUAAUGAUAGAUGUGUGGAAAGCGGGUACCAACCUGGAGAAGCACCUAUGUUGCAAGUUGUGGCAAAUGAGGUGAAUGCCCUUGAAACUUUAUGUCGAUCUAGACCACCAAAUAUCGAAAGAUAUAGUCAAUUGGUGGAUAGAUUUGAGCAUGGGUUACAUAUUAUCAAAGAGGCUAUAACCCAACAGCCACAACAAAUUGCUUCUCCAUCCGAUGAUGCUCCCACAACAUCCCACAGGCAAAGAAGAAGUUCUAGCCGAAUGUCAACUGGUUCAGUUGAACGUCGUGAUUUUGGGGUGGAUAUAGCUGGUCCUUCUACAGUAUAUCCACCUCAAGAUUAUUACGUACCUCAACCGCCUCAAGAUUAUUAUAUGCCUCAACCAUCUCAAGGUGAUUGGUUUCAAUCGACU